Molecule: ribosomal RNA, 474 nt
Filed under: uncultured bacterium
Lineage: Bacteria
Description: partial 16S ribosomal RNA
Rfam family: Bacterial small subunit ribosomal RNA
Source: RNAcentral
GAUGAACGCUAGCGGCAGGCCUAACACAUGCAAGUCGAGGGAGGAGCUUUCGGGCUUCGACCGGCGUACGGGUGCGUAACGCGUAUACAAUCUGCCUUUCACAUAGGGAUAGCCCGAAGAAAUUUGGAUUAAUACCUAAUGGUAUAUAGGAGUGGCAUCACCUUUAUAUUAAAGCUGAGGCGGUGAAAGAUGAGUAUGCGUUCUAUUAGCUAGUUGGAGAGGUAACGGCUCCCCAAGGCGACGAUAGAUAGGGGUUCUGAGAGGGAUAUCCCCCACACUGGUACUGAGAUACGGACCAGACUCCUACGGGAGGCAGCAGUGAGGAAUAUUGGACAAUGGUCGGAAGACUGAUCCAGCCAUGCCGCGUGCAGGAAGACGGCCUUAUGGGUUGUAAACUGCUUUUGCAGGGGAAGAAUAAGGAGUACGUGUACAUUGAUGACGGUACUCUGCGAAUAAGCAUCGGCUAACUCCGUG